This is a long non-coding RNA of Pseudophryne corroboree (corroboree frog), 417 nucleotides long. RefSeq lists it as uncharacterized. The record is from RefSeq and is a predicted model, not a curated record. The transcript is spliced from 3 exons. NCBI's taxonomy places the organism in Eukaryota, Metazoa, Chordata, Amphibia, Anura, Myobatrachidae.
AUAUCCUCUGUGAUCCCGAUGUAUGGCCACGUGACCACAGUGAUGGCGUCACGGUAUGGCGCUGUCGGGCGGGGGACGGACUCACACUGGGAGCGUUUAUGAUUUAGUAGUAGGUCGGAGCGUGAUGUCAUCAUAUGGCGCCACCGGCUAGGGGGCUGACCAGCACCGUGACACAUAAUUGGGGAGCACUAGGAGCAAAUAGCUACAUGAGUAAGUCAUCUGACUGCAAUAUGAAAGGCCAUAGGCUCCUGGGUAUAACAUCAUUAAUGUGUGCUUUAAAAAAAAGGAUGAUGUGACUGAAGGUCCUGGGUAUGACUGAGAAAACUGCAAUUUAAAGAAGCACAUUUAAAAAGAACAUUACAGUCAUUAGCGACAAGAGUCCUUUCUAUCAAGCGUGAUCUCAAGGCUGAUUCAUAU